ACCUGGCUGGCUUAGUCAAUGGAGCAUGUGACUUUUGAUCUCAGGGUUGUGAGUUUGAGCCCCACGUUGGGUG
Molecule: transfer RNA, 73 nt
Filed under: Ailuropoda melanoleuca (giant panda)
Lineage: Eukaryota; Metazoa; Chordata; Mammalia; Carnivora; Ursidae
Rfam family: tRNA
About the family: Transfer RNA (tRNA) molecules are approximately 80 nucleotides in length. Their secondary structure includes four short double-helical elements and three loops (D, anti-codon, and T loops).
Source: Rfam by way of RNAcentral